AAACUCUUCUUUUAUUUUCUUUUCGUAUAAAUAUUUUGCCUUUUACUACAGAUUUCUGUGGAGAGGAGCAUUUAUGAGUUUGUACUCAAUUUUUUUGAGGCUUUGUUUGGCAAGGGUA
This is a small nuclear RNA of Gopherus flavomarginatus (Mexican gopher tortoise), 118 nucleotides long. RefSeq annotates it as U5 spliceosomal RNA. NCBI's taxonomy places the organism in Eukaryota, Metazoa, Chordata, Testudines, Testudinidae. The record is from RefSeq and is a predicted model, not a curated record. The transcript has a single exon.